Molecule: long non-coding RNA, 3265 nt
Filed under: Salvia miltiorrhiza (redroot sage)
Lineage: Eukaryota; Viridiplantae; Streptophyta; Magnoliopsida; Lamiales; Lamiaceae
Description: long non-coding RNA (SMIL_LNC004691)
Source: RNAcentral
GAUUCUUUGGUAAGACGAAUAAAAAAAGAAUCAAACUUACAAAACACCCAAAUAGCCUGCCUCCUUACCUUUCGUUGGGAAUUUGGGCGUUGCAAGUUGCUUCUGCUGCGGAGUCACCGGAUGGAGGCACGAGGCCGAAGGAGGCGGGACGAGGGCUGGGGCGCGCACUGCUGCAGUGCUGCCUGCUUGGCGCUUGGACGGAGAGGUCCGAGGCGACAAGGCCGUGACCACGGGCGACCGGAGAGAGAGUGAAAACGGGAGAGCGAAGUGAGAGAGAGAGAGAGAGAGAGAGAGCAGAUAGACGGUAGUGUGAGAGAGUGAAACCUAUUUCUAAUUUCUAGUUCACAAAUUCUCCUAUACACCCACCUAGGUGUACAAUAACAUUAGUGUUAUUUAGUGUUAGUGUCAUUUACAUAUAACAUACUACAUGUCAUUUCGAUAAAUGAUAGUGUUAUUUAGUUUAGUGUCAUUUACAUAUAAUGUUAGUGUUAUUUCGCGAAAUUUAUUUAUAUAAAUAAUAGUGUCAUUUGUGAAACAAAAUAAUGUUAUUUAGGAUAUGGUUCAUUAAUAGUGCAUUGCACUCAUGAGUGACGUGCAUAGAGACAUUUCUCCAACAAUCAACUCUACAUUUCACUCUACAAUGGAAUAUUCUAUUUUGAUACUUUUAAUUGUUAUUAAAUUAAUCUUUUUAUAUAGUUAUUAUAUAUAUAUAUAUAUAUAUAUAUAUAUUUAAUUCUAUUUAUAUUUAUUCUGAUUUAUUUAAUUAUAACAUAAUAUAAUAUAAUUAUUUUGUAUUUUUAUACUAUAUUUAAAUUAUUGCACAUUAAUUUAUUCCAACAACAUAUAAAAUAACAUUACAUAAUAAUUAGUAAAAAGCAUAAAUUACAUGACAAUAGCACACUAAUAUUACAAAAUACUUGCAAAAAUUUAAAUUACUUAACAAUGGGAAUUAGUGUUCAAAAUUUGAAUAUUCUUCCCACAAAUGAUCGACCAAUGCAUCACGAAGUGCAAGAUGAGCUGAUUUAUCUUUGAUGCUUCGAUAGCGUGCAAGAAAUUCUUGAAACUGACGUGCUUCAUUUGGCACCGUUUUCGACAUCUGGAGUUUGGGACUUCUCUCAUCUCUUGAAUUGGUGCAGACAAGUCUCUUUCAUCCUCAAUUAUCAUAUUGUGCAUGAUAAUGCAGGAUUUCAUGAUAGCUCUAAAUGUUUCUUUUGCCAAAACGGGCCGGAUUUGCAACAAUUGCAAUCGACUUUGAAGAACUCCAAAUGCACGUUCCACAUCUUUCACACGUACUCUUGUCUCGUAGCUAAAAUUGUUUUUUCUUGCUAGUACGUGGUUCAUGUAUAGUUUGCUACAAGUGUGGACCUAUUUCGGAUUAUAUUCCGUCAGCUAAAUAUAACCCACACUAUCUCUUUUCCCUGUAUUACAUAAUUUGCAGGUGGAGUGAUACCUCUAGCAAGAUCACUGAAAAGAUGCGAUCUUUCCAAGACAUUAAUAUCAUUAUUGGACCCUGGCAUACCAAAGUAUAAAUGCCAUAUCCAAAGAUCAUAAUCAGCAACAAUUUCAAGAAUAAUCGUGGGAGAUCCACUACGACCUGCAUAUGAGCCUGCCCAAGCAGUUGGACAAUUUUUCCACUUCCAGUGCAUACAAUCUAGACUACCUAACAUUCCUGGAAAACCACGUUGUUGACCAAUAUAUAAUAGUCUAGCACCAUCACUAGAAGUAGGAGAUCUAAGAUAUUGACUUGAAAAUAUUUCCACAAUUGCACGACAAAAUUUCUUGACACAUUUAAUUGCAGUAGACUCACCAAUGUUGAUGUACUCAUCGGUGGCAUCUGCAGGUACCCCGUAUGCUAAUAUCCGAAAUGCAGCGGUUAUUUUUUGCAGUGUGGACAAGCUCAAUCUACCAGUGCAAUCCCUUCCUUGCUGAAAGUAACUAUUAUGAUUUUUUACAGCAUCAACAAUACGAAGGAAUAAAUUUCGAGACAUUCGAAAAUGUCUACGAAACAUUCCUUCAUUAAAUGUUGGAUUUUCAGAAAAAUAAUCGUUGAACAGACGUUGGGCAGCCACUUCUCGAUCACGAUGGAUCAUCCUGCGACCAGGAACUGAGUCUCUGUGGAUUGUUGUAGCAUUUUGAUUUUCAAUAAGGCUUGCUACAACGAAAUUACUCCCUCCGUCCCUAAAAUACUUCCUCUUUUCCAUUUUGGGACGUCCCCCAAAUAACUUCCUCUUUCUUUCUUUCCAUUUUUGGAAACCUACCCCACCACUAAUAAUACUUUAUUUAUUCUUACUUUUCACUUUUCACCACUCCCAAUACUAAUUAUAAUACUUUUCACAACUUCCAAUAAUAAUUAUAUCAUUUUUUNCAUUGCAUCUUGCACCAGCCCGUCUUUACACAAACCAUCAAGCAUAGCCACGGCGUUGGGGAUCAACCCCGUAUCCUUCAUCUUCUUGAAUAUCUCAUUCGCAUCCACGCUAUCACUAUCUUUAUCGACUGCGACUGGCUCCCUCUCCCUCUUGUUAGGGUUUUCUUUACUGCUGUCGCUAUCCAGCCCAAGCUUGAAUCUUUCAAGAAAAUCAGCAUCAGUUUCUGCCCCAAAGGUCUGCCGGGGGCGAGAUGAAGAUCGGGAUUGAUUUCUGAGUGGGCGGUCGGGAAUGGGUUCACGAGGUUGAUCGGAGAAAGAGCGUGCGGGUGCGGCGGCAGUGUUCCGUAGGAGACGAGCUCCAGUGGAACGCAGUAUAGUUCUGAGCGCCGUCGACAUUCAAAAUCCAAUCUGCACCACCUAAUCAAACUCCAGCUUCCCCCUCACCUGUAUACAUUUCAGUUGUGGAGCUAUUUAAUUACUCUUUUGGGUUGCCAACAAAUGCCUUAUAUUCUAAUGUCCAAAAAUCAUAAUUUAUACGUCUAAUGUCCGAUUAUUUUCAUAGAUCUACAAAAUAUUUCAAGUAUUUUUACUUAACGGUGGAUUCUUUGGUAAGACGAAUAAAAAAAGAUCAAACUUACAAAACACCCAAAUAGCCUGCCUCCUUACCUUUCGUUGGGAAUUUGGGCGUUGCAAGUUGCUUCUGCUGCGGAGUCACCGGAUGGAGGCACGAGGCCGAAGGAGGCGGGACGAGGGCUGGGGCUGCGCACUGCUGCAGUGCUGCCUGCUUGGCGCUUGGACGGAGAGGUCCGAGGCGACAAGGCCGUGGCCACGGGCGACCGGAGAGAGAGUGAAACGGGAGAGCGAAGUGAGAGAGAGAGAGAGAGAGAGAGAGCAGAUAGA